GACGAACGCUGGCGGCGUGCUUAACACAUGCAAGUCGAACGGAAAGGCCCUGCUUUUGUGGGGUGCUCGAGUGGCGAACGGGUGAGUAACACGUGAGUAACCUGCCCUUGACUUUGGGAUAACUUCGGGAAACUGGGGCUAAUACCGGAUAGGAGCUCCUGCUGCAUGGUGGGGGUUGGAAAGUUUCGGCGGUUGGGGAUGGACUCGCGGCUCAUCAGCUUGUUGGUGGGGUAGUGGCUUACCAAGGCUUUGACGGGUAGCCGGCCUGAGAGGGUGACCGGCCACAUUGGGACUGAGAUACGGCCCAGACUCCUACGGGAGGCAGCAGUGGGGAAUAUUGCACAAUGGGCGGAAGCCUGAUGCAGCAACGCCGCGUGCGGGAUGACGGCCUUCGGGUUGUAAACCGCUUUCGCCUGUGACGAAGCGUGAGUGACGGUAAUGGGUAAAGAAGCACCGGCUAACUACGUG
RNAcentral lists this ribosomal RNA (468 nucleotides) under uncultured bacterium. RNAcentral's name for it is "partial 16S ribosomal RNA". It matches the Rfam family "Bacterial small subunit ribosomal RNA", at positions 28 to 507 of the family's 1533-position model. The record is from RNAcentral.